This 23-nucleotide transfer RNA is filed under the name Formica selysi. Its description in RNAcentral is "partial tRNA-Ser". The record is from RNAcentral. RNAcentral also lists the same sequence under 1 other name. Lineage: Eukaryota; Metazoa; Arthropoda; Insecta; Hymenoptera; Formicidae.
AGUUAAUGAUCUUGAUUAAAGUU